Molecule: ribosomal RNA, 253 nt
Filed under: uncultured bacterium
Lineage: Bacteria
Description: partial 16S ribosomal RNA
Rfam family: Bacterial small subunit ribosomal RNA
Source: RNAcentral
UACAGAGGGGGCAAGCGUUAUUCGGAAUUAUUGGGCGUAAAGGGCGCGUAGGCGGCGAUUCAAGUGACGGGUGAAAUCCCUCGGCUUAACCGAGGAACUGCCUGUCAGACUGGGUUGCUUGAGACCGGGAGAGGCGAGUGGAAUUCCCAGUGUAGCGGUGAAAUGCGUAGAUAUUGGGAGGAACACCAGUGGCGAAGGCGGCUCGCUGGACAAGUAUUGACGCUGAGGCGCGAAAGCGUGGGGAUCAAACAGG